RNAcentral lists this ribosomal RNA (386 nucleotides) under uncultured bacterium. RNAcentral describes it as "bacterial SSU rRNA". It matches the Rfam family "Bacterial small subunit ribosomal RNA", at positions 29 to 437 of the family's 1533-position model. The record is from RNAcentral.
AACGAACGCUGGCGGCAGGCCUAACACAUGCAAGUCGAGCGAACCCUUCGGGGUUAGCGGCGGACGGGUUAGUAACGCGUGGGAAUAUACCCUUUGGUACGGAAUAGCCUCGGGAAACUGAGAGUAAUACCGUAUGUGCCCUUCGGGGAAGGAUUAUCGCCAAAGGAUCGGCCCGCGUUGGAUUAGGUAGUUGGUGGGGUAAGUGGCCUACCAAGCCGACGAUCCAUAGCUGGUUGAGAGGAUGAUCAGCCACACGUGGGACUGAGACACCGGCCCAGACUCCUACGGGAGGCAGCAGGUGGGGAAUCUUAGACAAGUGGGGGCAACCCUGAUCUAGCCAUGCCGCGUGAGUGAUGAACGGCCCGUAGGGUUAGUAAAGCUCUUUC